Molecule: ribosomal RNA, 482 nt
Filed under: uncultured bacterium
Lineage: Bacteria
Description: partial 16S ribosomal RNA
Rfam family: Bacterial small subunit ribosomal RNA
Source: RNAcentral
AUUGAACGCUGGCGGCAUGCCUUACACAUGCAAGUCGAACGGUAACAGGUCUUCGGAUGCUGACGAGUGGCGAACGGGUGAGUAAUACAUCGGAACGUGCCCGAUCGUGGGGGAUAACGAGGCGAAAGCUUUGCUAAUACCGCAUACGAUCUACGGAUGAAAGCGGGGGAUCUUCGGACCUCGCGCGGACGGAGCGGCCGAUGGCAGAUUAGGUAGUUGGUGGGAUAAAAGCUUACCAAGCCGACGAUCUGUAGCUGGUCUGAGAGGAUGAUCAGCCACACGGGGACUGAGACACGGCCCAGACUCCUACGGGAGGCAGCAGUGGGGAAUUUUGGACAAUGGGCGAAAGCCUGAUCCAGCCAUGCCGCGUGCAGGAUGAAGGCCUUCGGGUUGUAAACUGCGUUUGUACGGAACGAAAAGCCUCUUUCUAAUAAAGAGGGGUCAUGACGGUACCGUAAGAAUAAGCACCGGCUAACUACGUG